RNAcentral lists this non-coding RNA (195 nucleotides) under Mycobacterium sp. RNAcentral also lists the same sequence under 1 other name. The record is from RNAcentral. Lineage: Bacteria; Bacillati; Actinomycetota; Actinomycetes; Mycobacteriales; Mycobacteriaceae.
GGCUAAGCUGUGGUCGCCAGUCACCUCCGCGAGGAGUAGGGAACCCGGUGAGAUUCCGGGACUGACGCGCAGCGGUAUGGGGAUACGAGGCAGGCCACUCGAUCGUUGAGAGCCACUGGAAGCAACGCUUCUGGGAAGGCGGCCCGCCGAGGACGACCCCCGAGUCCGAAGACCUGCUGGCGCCUGCGGUCCUCC